This 253-nucleotide ribosomal RNA is filed under the name uncultured bacterium. Its description in RNAcentral is "partial 16S ribosomal RNA". It matches the Rfam family "Bacterial small subunit ribosomal RNA", at positions 524 to 776 of the family's 1533-position model. The record is from RNAcentral.
UACGGAGGGUGCAAGCGUUGUUCGGAAUUAUUGGGCGUAAAGGGCAGGUAGGUGGUCUUGAAAGUCUCCUGUGAAAUCCCCGGGCUCAACCCGGGAAGUGCGGUAGAUACUCCAAGACUAGAGUACUGGAGGGGUUCGUGGAAUUCCCGGUGUAGCGGUGAAAUUCGUAGAUAUCAGGAGGAACACCAGUGGCGAAGGCGGCUUCCUGGACACUAACUGACGCUGAGACGCGAAAGCGUGGGGAGCAAACAGG